CAGCCGCCGCGGUAAUACGGAGGGUGCAAGCAUUAAUCGGAAUUACUGGGCGUAAAGCGCACGCAGGCGGUUUGUUAAGUCAGAUGUGAAAUCCCCGAGCUUAACUUGGGAACUGCAUUUGAAACUGGCAAGCUAGAGUCUUGUAGAGGGGGGUAGAAUUCCAGGUGUAGCGGUGAAAUGCGUAGAGAUCUGGAGGAAUACCGGUGGCGAAGGCGGCCCCCUGGACGAAGACUGACGCUCAGGUACGAAAGCGUGGGGAGCAAACAGGAUUAGAGACCCGAGUAGUCCCUGUCUCUUAUAC
RNAcentral lists this ribosomal RNA (301 nucleotides) under uncultured bacterium. RNAcentral describes it as "partial 16S ribosomal RNA". It matches the Rfam family "Bacterial small subunit ribosomal RNA", at positions 509 to 807 of the family's 1533-position model. The record is from RNAcentral.